This 1910-nucleotide ribosomal RNA is filed under the name Clostridioides difficile. RNAcentral describes it as "partial 23S ribosomal RNA". It matches the Rfam family "Bacterial large subunit ribosomal RNA", at positions 1 to 1913 of the family's 2925-position model. The record is from RNAcentral. Lineage: Bacteria; Bacillati; Bacillota; Clostridia; Peptostreptococcales; Peptostreptococcaceae.
GGUUAAGUUAUGAAGGGCGCAUGGUGAAUGCCUUGGUACUAGGAGCCGAUGAAGGACGGGACUAACACCGAUAUGCUUCGGGGAGCGGUAAGUACGCUUUGAUCCGGAGAUUUCCGAAUGGGGAAACCCAACCAACUUAGUCGUUGGUUGCUUGACUAGUGAAUCUAUAGCUAGCAAGCGGUAGACGCAGUGAACUGAAACAUCUCAGUAGCUGCAGGAAGAGAAAGAAAAAUCGAUUCCCUCAGUAGCGGCGAGCGAACGGGGAAGAGCCCAAACCAACGAGCUUGCUCGUUGGGGUUGUAGGACUGAACAUUUGAGUUACCAAAGAGCGACGUAGUCGAAACAGUUGGGAAGCUGUGCCAGAGAUGGUGAAAGCCCAGUAGACGAAACGGCACUCUCUCAGUUCAGGAUCCUGAGUACGGCGGGACACGUGAAACCCCGUCGGAAGCAGCGAGGACCAUCUCGCAAGGCUAAAUACUCCCUAGUGACCGAUAGUGAACCAGUACCGUGAGGGAAAGGUGAAAAGCACCCCGGAAGGGGAGUGAAAUAGUUCCUGAAACCAUGUGCCUACAAGCUGUCGGAGCCCAUUAAUGGGUGACGGCGUGCCUCUUGCAGAAUGAACCGGCGAGUUACGAUUGCAUGCAAGGUUAAGGUGGAAAAACCGGAGCCGCAGCGAAAGCGAGUCUGAAAUGGGCGUAUGAAGUAUGUAGUUGUAGACCCGAAACCAGGUGACCUACCCAUGUCCAGGUUGAAGGUGCGGUAAAGCGCACUGGAGGACCGAACCCGUGUCAGUUGAAAAUGGCUGGGAUGAGGUGUGGGUAGCGGUGAAAUUCCAAACGAACUUGGAGAUAGCUGGUUCUCUCCGAAAUCUCUUUAGGGGGAGCCUUGGGAAUUAGAAUCGUGGAGGUAGAGCUACUGUUUGAACAAGGGGCCCGUCAUGGGUUACCAACUUCAGAUAAACUCCGAAUGCCAUUGAUUUAUGCCCAGGAGUCACACGAUGAGUGAUAAGAUCCACCGUGUAAAGGGGAACAGCCCAGAUCACCAGUUAAGGUCCCUAAAUAUAUGCUAAGUGGAAAAGGAUGUGGAGUUGCAUAGACAACUAGGAUGUUGGCUCAGAAGCAGCCACCAUUUAAAGAGUGCGUAAUAGCUCACUAGUCGAGUGAUUCUGCGCCGAAAAUGUACCGGGGCUAAGCAUAUUACCGAAACUGUGGAUGUGCACUACGUGCACGUGAUAGGAGAGCGUUCUAAGGGCGGUGAAGCUAGACCGUGAGGACUGGUGGAGCGCUUAGAAGUGAGAAUGCCGGUAUGAGUAGCGAAAGACAGGUGAGAAUCCUGUCCACCGAAUGACUAAGGUUUCCUGGGGAAGGCUCGUCCUCCCAGGGUAAGUCGGGACCUAAGCCGAGGCCGAGAGGCGUAGGCGAUGGAUAACAGGUUGAGAUUCCUGUACCAGUUAACUGCGUUUGACGAUGGAGGGACGCAGGAGGCUAAGCAAACCUCACGAUUGGAAGAGUGGGGCCAAGCAGUAAGUCAGGAUGUGAGUUAAAUGCUUACAUCCGAGUUGACAAGCUGUGAUGGGGAGCGAAAUUACAGUAGCGAAGUUGCCGAUGUCACACUGCCGAGAAAAGCUUCUAAGGAGCACGUUAACUGCCCGUACCGCAAACCGACACAGGUAGUCGAGGAGAGAAUCCUAAGGUGAGCGAGUGAACUCUCGUUAAGGAACUCGGCAAAAUGACCCCGUAACUUCGGGAGAAGGGGUGCUGGUCGCAAGACCAGCCGCAGUGAAUAGGCCCAGGCGACUGUUUAUCAAAAACACAGGUUUCUGCAAAAUCGUAAGAUGAAGUAUAGGGGCUGACGCCUGCCCGGUGCUGGAAGGUUAAAAGGAAGGGUUAGCUUCGGCGAAGCUCUGAAUU